AAACGUUACAGCUAUGCAAAGGACACUUUUGAUGUUGAUGAUGGGGCCCUCUACAAUAACUCACAAACUCAGCUAAAUAAGUCAAGGGAAACACUGACCCGGUAGCAUCCUGGCUAUGGUAAGGAUGAGGCUACCAAAAAUCUCACAUUCAUCACGCUUAAGGAAUUACCCCAGAUUUUAGCAUUCAUGUGAUAAAGAAAGGGACAAGCCAAUUUAAGCAUGUAGGAUAUAGCCUCGUCUAUUACAAGAAAAAUAAAUAAAAAGGGACAAACCUUAAUGAUAAAAUCAGGGAACUCUUCACAGAAUCAAACUUUUUGGUUAGCUGCUCUUAAUAAAUAGUUCGCAUACAACGAAUGAGUUAUGAGCAUCACAAGCCAACUUUUAAUGAAACAGUUAAGCAUACUGCAUACUGGUGAUUGUGUAACAGUGUUCACAUAUUAACAUCAUAAUUCUGAGCCACUAUCAUGUAAAUAAGCUAGCGAACAUUACAGUUCAUAAUAGUGGCAAUAAUUCUCAAUAAAUGACGAAAUAUAUGUCAACAUGCCAAUUCACUUGGAAAAGGUAAUUCAAAGCAAUAUGAACAGAAACUAUAUGCCUCCUAUUGCUAGUAAUUAAGUGCAGAAUCACAUUUAUUUAACUGAAAGAAGCAUCAGAUUCAUAACAUUAAAUUCCAAGGCAUCACAAUAGACAAGUUAUAUAUUGCGAGAUACUCCAAAAAUGGCAAUAAAUCUAAAUUAAAGAAAGAUUCCAUUUCCAUCAUAUAAUGGAACUCUCAACACUUUUUACUAUGUCUGAAAUGGGAGAAGAAAUGCUUUUUUUGGCAUUUUCCUCACUGUAACUAAGCUACUCACAAUGCCACUUAAUUCAUUUUUUUCUUUUCUCAAGAUUUGCACUAAUAUUUUGGAAGCCAUAUAACCCAUAAAAGCUUAAAAAGAUAUCAUAAUUCAACUGCAUAUGUGCUUGACAACAAUGAAAAAUCACUACUCCCAGAAGAUAAUAAAUUCCAAGAAUCUUCUGAUUUUUUUUUUGGUGAUCAUGUGGUUUGUUCAAUGGAUAGCUUCUAAAAGAACUUGCCAUGAAGUUCAACAAAGAAAUCCAAUUUAUGUCUAUAAUAGAUGAUUCUGAGGCCACAAUGGUCCAAAAGUAAAAGAUCCAAGACUUUCUAUGGUAAUGUAGGCAAUGCUCUUAACAAGAGCAAGUAAAAAUUUAGCAAUGAUAGAAACCAUUAGCAGGUUGUGUCUAGUGCUAUCAUCUCACUAAGAAAGAAGAAAAAUGUUUAAAGAUGGACCACUAGUAAUUGAACUUCAUUUCAAGUUGAUCAAGCUGAUACUCCUACUAAUAUUCAGUACCAUAGAAUUUUCUGCUUAAUAAAUUAGGGGUGGGGUGAUUUAAAGCAUCUUAGAAUAACAAUACACAUAGCAUGCUAAUUAAUGUCACUUAGAGAAUCUUGAUUAAGUUGAUUUCUAGGUUCAUACCUGCAUUGAAUUUUGAAUCCUACAUGCAGCUGAAGACUUGAGUUGGCACCAGUAACUAAUUGGAUUGAAAAUCCAACAUUUUUUCCUCUUCUACUUGUCCACUCUGUUUUUAAAGGUUGUGCAUAGACUUGUAUGUGUGCAAGUGUGCACAUGCAAAUAUAUUUACAAGCAAAAAGAUAGACUGGGCCAAGAUGUGUUCUCCUGAUUGAAUUUCAUGUUACUUGGCUCAAAAAUAAGCCAACUUUUUUAAAAGACAGCAGACAACAAAAAAGGAUAUAUCUACUAUCUUCUGGGUCCCUAUAGGUCCAAAAGUCACAAAGCAAACCGCUUACUUUAGCACAACGGGUGCUUCAGCACUUGGGGAAACUUGUUUGAUUCAGAGCUUUAUGGUGGGAUCACCAUUUGGAAAGUAAAAGCUAACUCAAUACGUACAUCUUUACAUUUACCAUUAAUCCUGGGAUUCCUAAAAUUCAACAACUUGGAGCAGCAAAAGUCAAGUGUCACUCAGCCUAUAAUCAUAACACUUAAGUCAAACAAUGAAAACCGCAUUUGUAGGCCCAAAGGAAACAACUAAUGCCUAAGCAAAAAGAGGAAGGCCUCAAAUGCAUAAAAGAUAUGUAAGCUAAUUUCCAUUUUUGCACCAAUUUCUACAAACACGGUAAUUAGAAAUGGCCUAAAACAGCUACAGCAGUACCCACCCUCCAUUUAAUUUACGAAAUGAUGUCAUAAAUCCAAUAAACUCACCGGGCCUUCUUCCGGGACUUGAAUGGAAAAUUGGACGGCGGCGAUGGUGAAAAUUCAAAUGGCAAGUGAGGUGGUUCUCUCUGACCACAAAGCAUCCCCACAACUUCUUUCAUGGUAGGCCGCUUGGUUGGUGACCUCUGCAAACAGAGUAGUGCAAUUGUGAUGCAAAGCAAUGCCUGAUCUUUAUCCAAUGAAUGUACUAAAGGAUCAACAAGAUCCAAAAGUUUCCCAUUGUAUGCGAGUUGCCUAGCCCAAGAAAUCAGAUUAGCCCUCUCAAAUUCCGACAUUGGUGAAGCAGCUACUUGCAGGGGUCUCCGACCAGAAACCACAACUAGAAGCAGAACACCGAAGCUAUAAACAUCACACUUCUCCGAUAACAGGCCACCACCGCCAUACUCUGGAGCAAUAUAACAAACAGUUCCUCUCAUACUAGGCGUGCUACUAACACCACCACUCUUCGGGAUUUCUCCACUUACCCAAUCCUGGCUACUUCUUCGCCCAUUUUUCAAUUCACCGCUGCACCCUUCCAACCACCAAUCAAUGCUGCCUCUGCUCCUUUUGCUCUUGCUUUUCUUUCUCUCUUGUACCACAUCAUCAUCCUUCUGCCACCAUGAGUCUCCCCCAUUGCUCGAAUUAAGUCCUCUUUUCUUCUUCUUCUUCUUUGUAAGCUCCUCGCAGAACUCUUCCUUCCACCACUCUCGUGGCUUUCUACUCUUUUCCUUGUUUUGCAUUCUUUCCUCAUCCAAAGAUGCCCACCAUUCCAAUCUUUUCUUGCGCUUCUUCUUUGGCUCAAUCGUCAAGCUUUUAGUUCUCAAAGGAUUGUUUUCAACCGAGCUAGGAGAGGCAAUCCAUUCACUGCUGGGUCUCUCCUUCUUAAUCUCACUCCCAAUCCACUCCAUCACAUAAUCCUUUACUCUCCCCGACUCUGACCCGCCUCCGUUGUCCUGUUUCCACCACCAAUCUCUUUUAGACCCAGCCUUCUUCCCUCCACUAACCAAAUCCUUCCCACUAUCAAUACUAAGCUUGUCAAACCCAGCCUCCGAAACACUCCCUCCUUUAUCCACUCCCAUCUCCGGUGACAUCGGAUCAACCAUCUCCGGUGAAGCAUCUGAAUCUAAAACCCUAACGGCAAAACUCUCAGGCGAUCGAUCAACGCCUACAGCAGUAGAACUAUCUUCGUAUCCAGUCACCACACUCUCUGUCUCCUCCAAAAUUGACCCAUUAUCCUCAGCAACUACAAAAGCCUCCUUCUUCUCCACAUCAUUCUCCUCUGCCUUCAAUCUUGCAAGUCCAAAAUCACCAAUUUUUGCAUUAAAAUCCGCGUCAAGUAAUAUGUUACUGGGUUUAAUAUCACCGUGAAUCACAGGAGGAUUACAGAAAUGGUGUAGAUAUUCAAGUCCUUUGGCAACAUCAGUUACCAAAUCAAAUCUUUUUCUCCAAUUCAUAAGUUCUUCACAUUUCCGAUCUAGCAAAGCUUCCUGGAGGCUCCGGUUCUCCAUAAGCUCGUACACCAAAAUGAGCUUCCGUCUGCGGCGGUCUGAGGAGAAACCCAAGAGAGGGACAAUGAAAGGGGAGUGCAGAGAGGAGGCGAGAGAGAGCUCGUUGUGGAAUUCACGCUCACCUUGGAGUGAGCCAUUGGGGUCCAUGAGCUUGACUGCUAACGGCUGGUUUGUUGAAGGAAGAAUGGCUUUAUAAACUGAGCCAAAUCCGCCGUGGCCAAGCCGGUUGGAGGUAGAGAACGAAGCCGUGGCGCUCCGGAGCAGUGAAUAGGAAAAGCGGUGACAUUGCAGCUGCUGCUGGUGAUGGUGAUUGGGAGAUUUAAGGUCAGAUGGAGCUGUACGGUUGCGAGAUAGUUUGCGGUAGAAAAAGAAAAUGAUGACAAUGAAAGAGAACAGAGUAAAAGUCAGGGCUCCGGCGAGAAUUGGAGGAAGAAGCUUCACAUGGUGGUCGUGGUGGCGGCGGUUGGUGUUACUUAGCGGCGGCGAAGCGAGAAGGGAUCUCAGUUGGCGAGAUGGCAUGGUAGUAAAUAGAAGCGAAAUGGAAGGAGUUAUGAGGAAGUCAUUAACAAAAAUAGAAAUAGCGUUUGAAGGUAGAAGGAGAAGAUAAUGAGGUAGGUGGUUGGUUAAUGAUUACUAACGUUUAUCUCCUCCGCUCCCGACUCUGGUUAUAAGCUGUGGGUGUUUCUUCAGCUAUGUAGAAGAGGGCCAGUUUAUUUCGGUUUUCCAUUCUUGGGGGAUAACGCUGGGUUGACAACGACGUCGUUAGAUAUCGAUGCUUGUGGAACCAGUUGCUUUGACUUUUUUUCUUUAACGUGGCUCCUCUUGGUUCGAUGGUCAUCAUCUUAAUCUAACUGUCAUGUGAUGUGAGUCGGAUUUAAGCCUUGAUCUAGUAGUAACCAGUAACCACACUACACUGAAGCUGAGAGGGUACCGAACACGCGCCAUCUAUUGGGCGUUAGAUACACGAGAGAUCGCGUGGAUCUAUGAUCUCGAGGCUUCGCUUACUGUUUAACCACGUUGGUGGGGUCCAUGAGUCUAAGAACUGUUUGGAUAAGCAAAUAGUCAGCAGAGAAAUUCAAUUUGGAUGCUAUGAGGUACUGUACUUUGUGGU
RNAcentral lists this unclassified non-coding RNA (4829 nucleotides) under Hevea brasiliensis (rubber tree). The record is from RNAcentral. Lineage: Eukaryota; Viridiplantae; Streptophyta; Magnoliopsida; Malpighiales; Euphorbiaceae.